GCCAAAGAUAACCCAAAAAUCCACAUUCUUAAAAGUCUUAUAACUUUUUAUUUUUGUCCUCACUGGCCUCCAAGUUUUCUAGGAUAAUGCAAUGUCCAGCCAUCAACACAUUUGUGAAGGAAUUUUUACUCCCCAAAAGAGCGCCCCCCCCAUGGCAGGAGAAAAAAGUCCAUUUUUUCUUGUCCCCUAAAGUGAAAAUACACAUUGUUGAGUGUGACACCUGUACGCUUUGUCAUAUUGACACAAAAUUUGACAAUCACGUGUAUCUCAAUAAGAUCUACGAAAAAGUCAAUGCGCGCGUAUCUGUCAAAUGUACGGUUAAAGGGCUAUAUUGCAUUUUUUGCUGACUCGCACACAUUGGAAUGUGGCUAACUCCUCCUAAGGCUUUCGUCCCACUGACACCAAAUUUGCUCAGGCCAAUCUACACCCCAUGGCCAUUAAAAGUUGUAAAAAUCAUGACGCUGCACCCCACGGUUUACGUUCUAGGGGGCGCCAAAGAUGACCCAAAAAUCCACAUUCUUAAAAGAAUCCCCCCCCCCAUGGCAGGAGCAAAAGUCAAGUUUUUCCUGCCCAUCGCUCAAUGGCUCAAUCGCAUCGCUCUCCCGGCAACACCAUAAGGAGGAGAAACCUGCCAUUUGGAUAUAUCCUAGCUGUGUUUGUGCCCUCACUCAUGGUCCAGACUUUUUUCAAAUAGGACAUGAAGUUUGUCUGCAGCGAGUGUUUUGGUAGAAACUGCGCCUCCCAUUCAUUAUAAUGGGAAAUGACCACAGACAAGUGCGCACACCAUCUUUGGACCUUGAGUGUGACGCGAUCGGGAGGGGGAGGCGGUUGCGCUGGGGGCGGAGCGACGCGGCUCGGGCCCGACAGUGGCCCACCGGGGCCCUAGUUCUUUGGGGCCCGAGCGUAGCUGCUAAGCAGCUGCGAGAGCCCUCUUGUUCCUGCAUGUUUCCUUCUUUAGGGCCCGAGCGUAGCUGCUAAGCAGCUGCAAGAGCCCUCUUGUUCCUGAUGGAUUCUUCUUUUGUUAUUAGGGCCCGAGCGUAGCUGCUAAGCAGCUGCGAGAGCCCUAUUAUUCCUGAUGGAUUCUUCUUUAGGGCCCGAGCGUAGCUGCUAAGCAGCUGCGAGAGCCCUCUUGUUCCUGCAUGUUUCCUUCUUUCGUUAGGGCCCGAGCGUAGCUGCUAAGCAGCUGCGAGAGCCCUCUUGUUCCUGAUGGAUUCUUCUUUAGGGCCCGAGCGUAGCUGCUAAGCAGCUGCGAGAGCCCUCUUGUUCCUGAUGGAUUCUUCUUUCGUUAUUUUUCCUCCGCUUUAAACUGGAAAAUGGCCCACUUCCCACUGGCGAAAACUCAGGAAAUUCGGCAGGACGACCGGGCCUGGUGAAAAAUUUGAUAUUCUGAAGUCGCCCAAACAAAAAAAUGAAAAAUGGCUCCAUAGCGCCCCCUAUGGUGAAAACUCACCUGACGCCUGUACGCUUUGUCAAAAUGACACAAAAUUUGACACACAUGUGUAUCUCAAUAAGAUCUACAAAAAAGUCAGUGCGGGCGUAUCUGUCAAAUGUACGGUUAAAGGGCUAUUUCGCAUUUUUUGCCGAUCCGCACACAUUGGAAUUUCGCUAACUCCUCCGAAGGCUUUCGUUCCACCGGCACCAAAUUUGCUCAGGCCAAUCUACACCCCAUGGCCAUUCAAAGUUGUACAAAUCAUGACGCUGCACCCCACGGUUUAUGUUCUAGGGGGCGCCAAAGAUAACCCAAAAAUCCACAUUCUUAAAAGUCUUAUAACUUUUUAUUUUUGUCCUCACUGGCCUCCAAGUUUUCUAGGAUGAUGCUAUGUCCAGCCAUCAACACAUGUGUGAAGGAAUUUUUACUCCCCAAAAGAGCGCCCACCCAUGGCAGGAGAAAAAAGUCAAUUUUUUCUUGUCCCCUAAGGUGAAAAUACACAUUGUUGAGUGUCACGCCUGAACUCUUUGUCAUAUUGACACAAAAUUUGACAAUCAUGUGUAUCUCAAUUAGAUCUACGAAAAAGUCAAAGAGCGCGUAUCUGUAUAAUGUACGGUAAAAGGGCUAUUUUGCAUUUUUUGCCGAUCCGCACACAUUGGAAUUUCGCUAACUCCUCCGAAGGCUUUCGUUCCACCGGCACCAAAUUUGCUCAGGCCAAUCUACACCCCAUGGCCAUUACAAGUUGUAAAAAUCAUGACGCUGCACCCCAUGGUUUAGGUUCUAGGGGGCGCCAAAGAUAACCCUAAAAUCCAAAUAUUUAAAAGUCUUAUAACUUUUUAUUUUUGUCCUCACUGGCCUCCAAGUUUUCUAGGAUGAUGCAAUGUCCAGCCAUCAACACAUUUGUGAAGGAAUUUUUACUCCCCAAAAGAGCGCCCCCCCAUGGCAGGAGAAAAAAGUCAAUUUUUUCUUGUCCCCUAAGGUGAAAAUACACAUUGUUGAGUGUCACGCCUGAACUCUUUGUCAUAUUGACACAAAAAUUAACAAUCAUGUGUAUCUCAAUUAGAUCUACGAAAAAGUCAAAGAGCGCGUAUCUGUAUAAUGUACGGUAAAAGGGCUAUUUUGCAUUUUUUGCCGAUUCGCACACAUUGGAAUUUCGCUAACUCCUCCGAAGGCUUUCGUCCCACUGACACCAUAGUUGCUCAGGCCAAUCUACAACCCAUGGCCAUUCAAAGUUGUACAAAUCAUGACGCUGCACCCCACGGUUUAGGUUCUAGGGGGCGCCAAAGAUAACCCAAAAAUCCACAGUCUUAAAAGUCUUAUAACUUUUUAUUUUUGUCCUCACUGGCCUCCAAGUUUUCUAGGAUGAUGCAAUGUCCAGCCAUCAACACAUUUGUGAAGGAAUUUUUACUCCCCAAAAGAGCGCCCCCCCAUGGCAGGAGAAAAAGUCAAGUUUUUCCUGCCCAUCGCUCAAUGGCUCAAACGCAUCGCUCUCUCGGCAAAACCGAAAGGAGGAGCAACUUGCCAUUUGGAUAUAUACUAGCUGUGUUUGUGCCCUCACUCAUGGUCCAGACUUUUUUCAAAAAGGACAUGGAGUUUGUCUGCAGCGAGCGUUUUGGUAGAAACUGCGCCUCCCAUUCAUUAUAAUGGUAAAUGACCACAGACAAGUGCGCACACCAUCUUUGGACCUUGAGUGUGACGCGAUCGGGAGGGGUAGGCGGUCGCACUGGGGGCGGCGCGACACGGCUCGGGCCCGCCAGUGCCCCACCGGGGCCCUAGUUCGUUAUUUUUCCUCCGCUUUAAACUGGAAAAUGGCCCACUUCCCACUGGCGAAAACUCAGGAAAUUUGGCAGGACGACCGGGCCUGCUGAAAAAUUUGAUAUUCUGAAGUCGUCCAAACAAAAAAAUGAAAAAUGGCUCCAUAGCGCCCCCUAAGGUGAAAACUCACCUGAUGCCUGUACGCUUUGUCAAAAUGACACAAAAUUUGACACACAUGUGUAUCUCAAUAAGAUCUACGAAAAAGUCAGUGCGGGCGUAUCUGUCAAAUGUACCGUUAAAGGGCUAUUUCGCUUUUUUUGCCGAUCCGCACACAUUGGAAUUUCGCUAACUCCUCCGAAGGCUUUCGUUCCACCGGCACCAAAUUUGCUCAGGCCAAUCUACAUCCCAUGGCCAUUCAAAGUUGUACAAAUCAUGACGCUGCACCCCACGGUUUAGGUUCUAGGGGGCGCCAAAGAUAACCCAAAAAUCCACAUUCUUAAAAGUCUUAUAACUUUUUAUUUUUGUCCUCACUGGCCUCCAAGUUUUCUAGGAUAAUGCAAUGUCCAGCCAUCAACACAUUUGUGAAGGAAUUUUUACUCCCCAAAAGAGCGCCCCCCCCAUGGCAGGAGAAAAAAGUCCAUUUUUUCUUGUCCCCUAAAGUGAAAAUACACAUUGUUGAGUGUCACGCCUGUACGCUUUGUCAUAUUGACACAAAAUUUGACAAUCAAGUGUAUCUCAAUAAGAUCUACGAAAAAGUCCAGCGCACAUAUCUGUAAAAUGUACGGUUAAAGGGCUAUUUCGCAUUUUUUGCCGAUUCGCACACAUUGGAAUGUAGCUAACUCCUCCUAAGGCUUUCGUCCCACUGACACCAAAUUUUAUCAGGCCAAUCUACACCCCAUGGCCAUUCAAAGUUGUAAAAAUCAUGACGCUGCACCCCACGGUUUACGUUCUAGGGGGCGCCAAAGAUGACCCAAAUAUCCAUAUUCUUAAAAG
RNAcentral lists this long non-coding RNA (4177 nucleotides) under Xyrichtys novacula (pearly razorfish). The record is from RNAcentral. Lineage: Eukaryota; Metazoa; Chordata; Actinopteri; Labriformes; Labridae.